GACGAACGCUGGCGGCGUGCUUAACACAUGCAAGUCGAACGGAAAGGCCCUGCUUUUGUGGGGUGCUCGAGUGGCGAACGGGUGAGUAACACGUGAGUAACCUGCCCUUGACUUUGGGAUAACUUCAGGAAACUGGGGCUAAUACCGGAUAGGAGCUCCUGAUGCAUGGUGGGGGUUGGAAAGUUUCGGCGGUUGGGGAUGGACUCGCGGCUUAUCAGCUUGUUGGCGGGGUAGUGGCUUACCAAGGCUUUGACGGGUAGCCGGCCUGAGAGGGUGACCGGCCACAAUGGGACUGAGAUACGGCCCAGACUCCUACGGGAGGCAGCAGUGGGGAAUAUUGCACAAUGGGCGGAAGCCUGAUGCAGCAACGCCGCGUGCGGGAUGACGGCCUUCGGGUUGUAAACCGCUUUCGCCUGUGACGAAGCGUGAGUGACGGUAAUGGGUAAAGAAGCACCGGCUAACUACGUG
Molecule: ribosomal RNA, 468 nt
Filed under: uncultured bacterium
Lineage: Bacteria
Description: partial 16S ribosomal RNA
Rfam family: Bacterial small subunit ribosomal RNA
Source: RNAcentral